ACGCUCGACACCUACGGGAGCAGCAGUCGGGAAUAUUGCGCAAUGGAGGAAACUCUGACGCAGUGACGCCGCGUAUAGGAAGAAGGUUUUCGGAUUGUAAACUAUUGUCGUUAGGGAAGAAAAAGGACAGUACCUAAGGAGGAAGCUCCGGCUAACUACGUACCAGCAGCCGCGGUAAUCUGAGCGGGCUGGCAAGGC
RNAcentral lists this ribosomal RNA (198 nucleotides) under uncultured bacterium. RNAcentral's name for it is "partial 16S ribosomal RNA". It matches the Rfam family "Bacterial small subunit ribosomal RNA", at positions 328 to 539 of the family's 1533-position model. The record is from RNAcentral.